CCGAGCAGCUGGGGUGGCAGCGGUACCCUGUACUAGCAAUCCGCUAUAGCUAGAGUGAUAUUCUGCCUCGGGUCUUAGAUGUUAAGGCAGCCCUUUGUAAGUGGCGUUGACGUUUGGGUCUUACGCAACGGAAAUCUGUGAACCGUGUCAGGUCAGGAAUGAAGCAGCACUAAGCAGAACCUUUCGUGUGCCGUGAGGGUGCCUGGACUGAGUUAACUGCAAAGGUAACGUUUGGCAUCGGGAUUCAAAGCAGAAUGCUCGG
Clostridiales bacterium 36_14 is the source of this 262-nucleotide non-coding RNA. The record is from Rfam. NCBI's taxonomy places the organism in Bacteria, Bacillati, Bacillota, Clostridia, Eubacteriales.